AUGGUGGGCUUCUUGUUGUAGCGCGCCAGCUUGGCCGACUCGCCGGCCAGCUUCUCGAAGAUGUCGUUGAUGAAGGAGUUCAUGAUGGACAUGGCCUUGGAGGAGAUGCCGAUGUCCGGGUGCACCUGCUUCAGCACCUUGAAGAUGUAG
This 150-nucleotide ribosomal RNA is filed under the name Triticum aestivum (bread wheat). RNAcentral's name for it is "partial small subunit ribosomal RNA". Lineage: Eukaryota; Viridiplantae; Streptophyta; Magnoliopsida; Poales; Poaceae. The record is from RNAcentral.